AAACGAUUGAAGCCAGUCGUACCUACGGGUAAUCAGCCUUUCGGAAGCGAUUCUGUGGGUUUUGAGGAGCUUCACGGCCCUCAUGGUCUACAUAUUUGUAUCCCUUGGGUGUACUUUCCCGGUGGUUGGUUAACAUCAAUUUCGGUCAUCAUAAAAUG
This 158-nucleotide ribosomal RNA is filed under the name Glomeraceae sp. Its description in RNAcentral is "partial large subunit ribosomal RNA". Lineage: Eukaryota; Fungi; Glomeromycota; Glomeromycetes; Glomerales; Glomeraceae. The record is from RNAcentral.